RNAcentral lists this ribosomal RNA (253 nucleotides) under uncultured bacterium. RNAcentral's name for it is "partial 16S ribosomal RNA". It matches the Rfam family "Bacterial small subunit ribosomal RNA", at positions 524 to 776 of the family's 1533-position model. The record is from RNAcentral.
UACAGGGGGGGCAAGCGUUGUUCGGAAUUACUGGGCGUAAAGGGCGCGUAGGCGGGAUGGCAAGUCGGUCGUGAAAUCCUUCGGCUCAACCGAAGAACGUCGAUCGAUACUGCUGUUCUUGAGGGUUGCAGAGGAGACUGGAAUUCCCGGUGUAGCGGUGAAAUGUGUAGAGAUCGGGAGGAACACCGGUGGCGAAGGCGGGUCUCUGGGCAAUUCCUGACGCUGAGGCGCGAAAGCGUGGGGAGCAAACGGG